This 2308-nucleotide unclassified non-coding RNA is filed under the name Ooceraea biroi (clonal raider ant). Its description in RNAcentral is "nGFI-A-binding protein homolog, transcript variant X4". Lineage: Eukaryota; Metazoa; Arthropoda; Insecta; Hymenoptera; Formicidae. The record is from RNAcentral.
UUCAGCGGGCGGCGCGCAAUGUGCACCGCGCCAGCGUUCGAAACGCGUCGGUGUCGCUCUUUCAUACGCUGUGACAAUUCCUUGUCAACCACGCGAAUACUUUCUCCAUUGCGCUUUCGUUUCCGAGCGGGCUCGCGAAUCGACGCCAAUCGUCGCUGCUGAAAUCGUCACGUUACGCUCGCGAGAGAUUACAAGAUCCGCGCAUUAUAGUUUGCUUCAUCGUCGUCCCCUUCGCGCGUCAUUCUUCAAUCACAUCUGUUUCCAUUUCGCCUUUGCCGUAGCAAAAGAAUCAUCGUUCGCGUUGCGAUCAUGAUCCACGCGAGGAUCCACGCGGCGCGGUAACGCCGCGAUGCGCGACUGUCGCAAUUUUCGGAAUCGUUCGGCUCGUCACGUGGUCACUUUCGAAUCCGCCCGAUCGGUCGUUCGUUCGCGCGCCUCCGUCAUUUGUCGCCGUCGAAACCGCUCGUUCGUUCUCGUCCUGGUUAAACGUUAAACGCGGCGAUCGAAUGCAUCCCGUUGGAUGCUGCCGGCGGCGUGCGCGGUCGAUCUGGAAGCUCGUGCUCGCCGCGGUACCGUGAGCAGCGAGUGCUGCUUCCGCUCCAGGUAGCGCCGGUGGCCGCGAUGGACGUGCGCGUGGUCGUCGGUGCACCGGUUGCGGAAGAGACGCCAGUGGCGGCGACAGCGACGACGACGGUGACGGCGACGCGGGGCAUUGCGACGCCUUCGCCGGUGCCCUCGGUGCCGAGCACCGUCGCGGCCACCACCGCCGGCAACGGCGGCGGUGGCGGCGGAGCGGUCGUCGCGACGCCCGCGUCCGCACCCUGCACCCCGCAGAAUCCCGUCGUCGUCGUGGCGAGCCCCUCCGGCAACCAUCAACCACCGGCCGGCGUGCCGGUCGCUGCUAGGAUACUCAGCAGGAAUGUCAACGGCACCCUGAUACAGACGUCCGUGCCGCAGAACGAGGCUGAGCUACAGUUGUAUAGGGUGAUGCAACGCGCCUCGCUGUUGGGAUACUAUGACACGCUCCUUGAAAUGGGAGGUGACGAUGUGCAACAAUUGUGUGACGCGGGUGAAGAGGAGUUUCUAGAGAUUAUGGCGUUAGUCGGCAUGGCGAGCAAGCCGCUUCAUGUCAGGAGGCUUCAGAAAGCUCUGCAAGAGUGGCUCACCAAUCCCUCAUUGUUUCAAACGCCGGUCGUGCCGACGAAUGCCACCGCUGCCAAAAGCCCCGCCGCAGCCGUAAGUUUCGCGUGCGCGAGCCCGCGGCCGCAGAUGCAGAGUCUGUCGACCGCUUUCACCGCGACUUCCCAAACUUCCCUAACGCCGGCGUCCUACGUCUCGACAACACCUCACGUACCGUUGACGCCACUAUCUUGCCGGAGCGUCAGCCCGGUUGCGCCGGUCACCAGCGUGUCCGCAUCGGCACCCUCCACGACUUUCCGCCAGAGUCCGAGCCCGAACACGUCGAUACCUUACACGACUACGCACAGUCCCAAUGUGUUGCAGGUAGGGACGUGCGAGUCUUCGUGCGGUAGCGGCACGACGCCGAGUCCGAGCGGCGGUGGCGGCGGCGCACCUGCAAGCCCAACGCAACCUACGCCGACCCUCCUGCAGUCGCAGGUGCAGCGACUCGCCGAGGCCGCGGAAAGGCUCGUCGCUACCAUAAGGCCCCUCGACCCCAAACCCCAUAAUGUGAAAAAAAAACUCUGCAAGAACUUGGAGAUGGUAAUGACGAUGUCCGAUAGUGACCCGCGCAAGAUGGACGAAAUCCGGAAGUACGCGGCGAUUUAUGGCAGGUUCGAUUGCAAGAGAAAACCGGAGAAACCUCUCACGCUGCACGAGGUGUCCGUGAAUGAAGCGGCGGCGCAAAUUUGCAGAUUCGUGCCCGCCCUUCUCACGAGGAGGGAUGAGUUGUUCCCUCUGGCACGUCGUGUCGUCCGGGAUUCUGGUUACCAUUACUCCAAGAGUCAAUACUUGUCGAUGUCCAGGUCACGCGAAAACGGUGAGGAGACCGACGGAGAACGCUUAAAACGCCAGAAACUGGAGCUGGAGGGUGAGGGUGAGGACGCGACGCAGGAGGAGUUGGAUCUUCGUUGUUCUGGAACGGACAUUAACAAUUCUAUUGCGAGAAGACACAGGUCGUCGAGUCUGGAGGAAGAAGAGUAACAACGGCAUGUUCAGCGCUAGCGUGGAGGAGAUCAGCGACUCAGAUAGCCAAUUCUCGUUCUCAAAUGAGGAAUCUUCAUCCAUGCAUGACACAAACGAGGCGGAGGCGGAGAACACCGACAAAGAAGGUGACUUUAAUCUAAAG